Molecule: ribosomal RNA, 404 nt
Filed under: Actinomycetes bacterium
Lineage: Bacteria; Bacillati; Actinomycetota; Actinomycetes
Description: Actinobacteria bacterium partial 16S ribosomal RNA
Rfam family: Bacterial small subunit ribosomal RNA
Source: RNAcentral
UGGGGAAUAUUGCACAAUGGGCGCAAGCCUGAUCCAGCCAUGCCGCGUGAGUGAUGAAGGCCCUAGGGUUGUAAAGCUCUUUCACCGGUGAAGAUAAUGACGGUAACCGGAGAAGAAGCCCCGGCUAACUUCGUGCCAGCAGCCGCGGUAAUACGAAGGGGGCUAGCGUUGUUCGGAUUUACUGGGCGUAAAGCGCACGUAGGCGGACUAUUAAGUCAGGGGUGAAAUCCCGGGGCUCAACCCCGGAACUGCCUUUGAUACUGGUAGUCUUGAGUUCGAGAGAGGUGAGUGGAAUUCCGAGUGUAGAGGUGAAAUUCGUAGAUAUUCGGAGGAACACCAGUGGCGAAGGCGGCUCACUGGCUCGAUACUGACGCUGAGGUGCGAAAGCGUGGGGAGCAAACAGG